UACAGAGGGGGCAAGCGUUAUUCGGAAUUAUUGGGCGUAAAGGGCGCGUAGGCGGCAUGGCAAGUGGAUGGUGAAAUCCCUCGGCUUAACCGAGGAACUGCCGUCCAAACUGCUUCGCUUGAGACCGGGAGAGGUGAGUGGAAUUCCCAGUGUAGCGGUGAAAUUCGUAGAUAUUCGCAAGAACACCAGUGGCGAAGGCGGCUCACUGGCCCGGUACUGACGCUGAGGUGCGAAAGCGUGGGGAGCAAACAGG
Molecule: ribosomal RNA, 253 nt
Filed under: uncultured bacterium
Lineage: Bacteria
Description: partial 16S ribosomal RNA
Rfam family: Bacterial small subunit ribosomal RNA
Source: RNAcentral